UUCUUCUUCCUCUCAAACGACGAAGCGACGCGCUUCCUGAGCUCACCGGAAACGGCUUCGAAACGCCACCCUUCCUUCGUAACCUCCAUCCCGUUUCCAUCCUCAAUAUAGACCUCAACACAAUCUCACUCUUCUCUCUAAUUUGGUAACAUCACAGAAAACCCUAACCUAAAUCUGAAAUUGAACAAAAAUCUUGGAGCUAGUUCGGGGAAUUCCGAUGACGGUGAAGGGCUCAGUUCAGGUUUGUGUAUGUUGAAGAAGGAGUUUAUGGAGAGUUUUUGUAUGGUUGCGUUCUUGUUGAGUUUUGUACAAGGAUUUGAGGGAAUGAGUUGGAGUUGAAGGACUAAUUUUGUAUAUUCUACAGGUUGAAUUUGGUGCAAUUCUUGUUGGCUAUAAAAACAGGGUGCAGCCAAUGCUAAUAUUAGGAGGAUGAUUGUGCUGCUGUUAUGUAUGGUGGAUAGCUUAACUACUUGCUUAAUAAAAAAUUUAUAUGAUGAGUUUAUGCAUUAUUCUUGUUGUCUGAACUCGACUUAUUCAUGCUUAAAAGUGUGUAUUCAAUAUGAAAUUAUGUAGUUUCUUUGACCCAACAACUUUGUUACUACAAAAUAAAUACUUGUAUUUUUUAUUUUAGCAGAAAAUAAGACAUUAAAAGGCUUAACAACUUAAGGCCUACGAAAGAAAUUGGAGCUGCCAAUUUUUGGAAGAAAAAAGCGACCUAAACCAGUAUACAGGUUUGAGAAACCAAACAACAAUCAUUUAUAGGAAAAGAAUAAUCUCUCUACAUAGAAGGUAAAGAAAUCACUGACAAACCACAUUGAGCAUGUCUAAACAAAUCCCUUUGUGCUUUAUUUUGAUAUUCUCUUUUGAGUAAUAAUAUAUAUUUCCAUCUGUUUGGUUCUUUUAAAUCAAGAAAUAAAAUUUGUAUGAAAAUUUCUAGUCUUAUAAUCAUGUUGGAUGCUAAGUCUGUUAAUGCUAUUUAUGUACCUUCAAGAAACAUCAUCCUUCAUUUCUAGAUUUUCUACACAUAAGAGAAACUGAAAAAGACAGUUCUCAUACAAUCAAUAAGCUUUUCAUACUAUUUGAAUUUUUGAUAUAAAUAACUCAUUUAGUCAAUAUGUAUUAUACUCCGUUAUUAACUUUAUUUUUUUUCUUCUUCUUAUUCUUAUAUGUAUACAUGCGAUGGACAAUUGAAGAUAUAUUAGAAGUUGAUUUGUGCAUUGUUGGAAAGUCAAUUAUGGCCAUCGAGGAGUCACGUUCGACUGGAGAGAACUAGUUUUCUUA
This is a long non-coding RNA of Vicia villosa (hairy vetch), 1281 nucleotides long. RefSeq lists it as uncharacterized. The transcript has 4 exons. The record is from RefSeq and is a predicted model, not a curated record. NCBI's taxonomy places the organism in Eukaryota, Viridiplantae, Streptophyta, Magnoliopsida, Fabales, Fabaceae.